This is a long non-coding RNA of Lemur catta (Ring-tailed lemur), 168 nucleotides long. RefSeq lists it as uncharacterized. The record is from RefSeq and is a predicted model, not a curated record. Lineage: Eukaryota; Metazoa; Chordata; Mammalia; Primates; Lemuridae. The transcript has 3 exons.
CCUCACCAUAGCCAGCAAAGCUACUACUCAUUUAGCGGAGUUGUUCUCCGGGUCUCACUGAAGGGGCGCAGGAAUAGACACAGGCGAAUCUGUGACGCUGGCAUAGAAUCCAGAUCACGGAACUCUUCACCUCUUCCCAGGGUGAUUGGCCAGAGGACGUCAUUUCCC